This 627-nucleotide long non-coding RNA is filed under the name Pan troglodytes (chimpanzee). RNAcentral's name for it is "long non-coding RNA NONPTRT012360". The record is from RNAcentral. Lineage: Eukaryota; Metazoa; Chordata; Mammalia; Primates; Hominidae.
GAGGUCAUUUGCAUAAUGUUGUGGCCUAUAGUAGGUUCUCAAUAAAUACCUGAUGGAUGAAUGAAUGAAUAAGGACGAGGAAAUGAACACGCUAGGUAUGCCUGGAUCUGAAGCAGAAGUGGCCCAAAAAUGCAAGGAAAAGAAACUUGGCAGGAAUAGCAGGAAGAAGAAAGGGGGGAGGACAGUAUUGUGUGAGUUUGCUAGGGCUGUGUAACAAAGUGAUAGAAACCUGAUGUCUCCCGCAACAGACAUUUAUUGUCUCACAGUCUUGGAGGCCGGAGUGCAAGAUCAAGUUGUGAGUGGAGCUGGUUCCUUCUGUGGGCUGUGAGGAAGAAUCUGUCGCAGGCCUCUCUCCCAGCCUCUGCUGACUCGCUGGCAGUCUCUGGUGUCCCCUGGCUUGGAGUAUCGACAGCAUAGCUGGCCCACCUUUGAGUAUGACCGGGCCCGGGCCAAACAGCGGGGGCGUGGAACCAGACUGCUGUGCUGUGCCAGUGGAGACUUUUGGAACUGAGGACAGCUGAAUGAGAGGUAGAGUGGUGCUAGGGUUCACCAGCACGUGUGCCCCAAACCUGCGGGGAGGGCCCCUUUCUUCUGUCUCUCUCUUUAACCUGUGUCACUCUGUCCCUU